GGUAGACACUGCCUAAGGGGUGGGGAAGAGCAUUGCUCUGAAGUCUCUCCAACUAGGGAAAAAUAUUUUAACAUCUUAAGAGCUCUAAUAUACCCAUCUGAAUGCGGACUUCCAAAGAAUAGCAAGGAGAGAUGAGAAAGCCUUCCUCGGUGAUGAAUGCAAAGAAAUAGAGAAAACAAUAGAAUGGGAAAGACUAGAGAUCUCCUCAAGAAAAUAAGAGAUACCAAGGGAACAUUUCAUGCAAAGAUGGACACAAUAAAGGACAGAAACAGUAUGGACCUAACAGAAGCAGAAGACUAGAAACGUGGCAAGAUACACAGAAGAACUAUACAAAAAAGAUCUUAACAACCCAGAUAACCUCGAUGGUGUGAUCACUCACCUAGAGCCAGACAUCCUGGUAUUCGAAGUCAAGUGGGCCUUAGGAAGCAUCACUAUGAACAAAGCUAGUGGAGGUGAUGGAAUUCCAGUUGAACUAUUUCAAAUCCUUAAAAAUGAUGCCGUGAAAGUGCUGCACUCAAUAUGCCAGCAAAACUGGAAAACUCAGCAGUGACCACAGGACCGGAAAAGGUCAGUUCUCAUUCCAAUUCCAAAGAAAGGCAAUGCCAAAGAAUGCUCAAACUACCACACAAUUACACUCAUCUCACGAUAGCAAAGUAUUGCUCAAACUUCUCCGAGCCCAGUUUCAACAGUUCAUGAACCAAGAACUUCCAGAUAUUCAAGCUGGUUUUAGAAAAGGCAGAGGAACCAGAUAUCAAAUUGCCAACAUCCACUGGAACAUAGAAAAAGCAAGAGUUCCAGAAAAACAUCUGCUAUAUUGACUACGCCAAAGCCUUGACUGUGUGGAUCACAACAAACUGGAAAAUUCUUAAAGAGAUGGGAAUACCAGACCACCUGACCUGCCUCCUGAGACAUCAGUAUGAAAGUCAAGAAGCAACAGUUAGAACUGGAUAUGGAACAACGGACUGGUUCCAAAUUGGGAAAGGAGUACAUCAAGGCUGUAUAUUGUCACCUUGCUUAUUUAACUUAUAUCCAGAGU
Long non-coding RNA from Bos taurus (domestic cattle), 1036 nucleotides. Lineage: Eukaryota; Metazoa; Chordata; Mammalia; Artiodactyla; Bovidae. The record is from Ensembl.